UGAUCCUGGCUCAGAUUGAACGCUGGCGGCAGGCCUAACACAUGCAAGUCGAGCGGUAGCGGGAAGAGCUUGCUCUUUGCCGACGAGCGGCGGACGGGUGCGUAACACGUAGGAAUCUGCCCGGUAGUGGGGGAUAGCCCGGAGAAAUCCGGAUUAAUACCGCAUACGCCCUAAGGGGGAAAGCAGGGGAUCUUCGGACCUUGCGCUAUCAGAUGAGCCUGCGUCGGAUUAGCUGGUUGGUGGGGUAAAGGCCUACCAAGGCGACGAUCCGUAGCUGGUCUGAGAGGAUGAUCAGCCACACUGGGACUGAGACACGGCCCAGACUCCUACGGGAGGCAGCA
RNAcentral lists this ribosomal RNA (341 nucleotides) under uncultured Endozoicomonas sp. RNAcentral describes it as "bacterial SSU rRNA". It matches the Rfam family "Bacterial small subunit ribosomal RNA", at positions 14 to 353 of the family's 1533-position model. The record is from RNAcentral. Lineage: Bacteria; Pseudomonadati; Pseudomonadota; Gammaproteobacteria; Oceanospirillales; Endozoicomonadaceae.